UACGUAGGGGGCAAGCGUUAUCCGGAUUUACUGGGUGUAAAGGGAGCGCAGACGGCUCUGCAAGUCUGAAGUGAAAGCCCGCGGCUUAACCGCGGGACUGCUUUGGAAACUGCAAGGCUUGAGUAUCGGAGGGGCAGGUGGAAUUCCUAGUGUAGCGGUGAAAUGCGUAGAUAUUAGGAAGAACACCGGUGGCGAAGGCGGCCUGCUGGACGAAAACUGACGUUGAGGCUCGAAGGCGUGGGGAGCAAACAGG
RNAcentral lists this ribosomal RNA (253 nucleotides) under uncultured Moryella sp. RNAcentral's name for it is "partial 16S ribosomal RNA". It matches the Rfam family "Bacterial small subunit ribosomal RNA", at positions 524 to 776 of the family's 1533-position model. The record is from RNAcentral. Lineage: Bacteria; Bacillati; Bacillota; Clostridia; Lachnospirales; Lachnospiraceae.